Molecule: long non-coding RNA, 75 nt
Organism: Tupaia belangeri chinensis (Chinese tree shrew)
Lineage: Eukaryota; Metazoa; Chordata; Mammalia; Scandentia; Tupaiidae
Exons: 3
Source: RefSeq, a predicted model, not a curated record
CAGGUGAACUCCAGGCCGCCCUCAGGGAGAGGAAAGCAGCUUACCUGGCUGCCUGGAGGAAGGCCCAGCUGUACG